UGACCUUUGACCUCAAAUCAGGUAGGAUUACCCGCUGAACUUAAGCAUAUCAAUAAGCGGAGGAAAAGAAACUAACAAGGAUUCCCCUAGUAACUGCGAGUGAAGCGGGAAAAGCUCAAAUUUAAAAUCUGGCGGUCUUAUGGCCGUCCGAGUUGUAGUCUGGAGAAGUGCUUUCCGCGCUGGACCGUGUACAAGUCUCUUGGAACAGAGCGUCAUAGAGGGUGAGAAUCCCGUCUUUGACACGGACUACCAGUGCUUUGUGAUGUGCUCUCAAAGAGUCGAGUUGUUUGGGAAUGCAGCUCAAAAUGGGUGGUAAAUUCCAUCUAAAGCUAAAUAUUGGCGAGAGACCGAUAGCGAACAAGUACCGUGAGGGAAAGAUGAAAAGCACUUUGGAAAGAGAGUUAAACAGUACGUGAAAUUGCUGAAAGGGAAACGCUUGAAGUCAGUCGCGUUGGCCAGGACUCAGCCUUGCUUUUGCUUGGUGCAUUUUCUGGUUGACGGGCCAGCAUCGAUUUUGACCAUUGGAAAAAGAUUAGGGGAAUGUGGCACCUUCGGGUGUGUUAUAGCCCUUAGUCACGGAUACAGUGGUUGGGAUACGAGGACCGCAGCACGCCUUUAUUGACCGGGGUUGGUAGAAGCCCCGUUCGUGCUUAGGAUGCGGAGAAGUGUCACACC
This 675-nucleotide ribosomal RNA is filed under the name Fomitopsis betulina (razor strop fungus). RNAcentral's name for it is "eukaryotic LSU rRNA". It matches the Rfam family "Eukaryotic large subunit ribosomal RNA", at positions 1 to 641 of the family's 3401-position model. Lineage: Eukaryota; Fungi; Basidiomycota; Agaricomycetes; Polyporales; Fomitopsidaceae. The record is from RNAcentral.